RNAcentral lists this ribosomal RNA (873 nucleotides) under uncultured bacterium. RNAcentral's name for it is "bacterial SSU rRNA". It matches the Rfam family "Bacterial small subunit ribosomal RNA", at positions 1 to 857 of the family's 1533-position model. The record is from RNAcentral.
CACGGAUCCAGAGUUUGAUUAUGGCUCAGAUUGAACGCUGGCGGCAGGCCUAAUACAUGCAAGUCGAACGGUAACAUGGAAGUAGCAAUACUUUUGAUGACGAGUGGCGGACGGGUGAGUAAAAUUUGGGAAUCUACCUAUCAGAGGGGGAUAGCGACUGGAAACGGUUGAUAAAACCGCGUACGCUCUGAGGAGGAAAGUAAUGGGAUCGANAGACCAUUAGCUGAUAGAUGAGCCCAAACGGGAUUAGCUAGUAGGCGGGGUAAUAGCCCACCUAGGCGACGAUCUCUAGCUGGUUUUAGCGGAUGAUCAGCCACAUUGGAACUGAGACACGGUCCAAACUCCUACGGGAGGCAGCAGUAGGGAAUAUUGCACAAUGGAGGGAACUCUGAUGCAGCCAUGCCGCGUGUGUGAAGAAGGCCUUCGGGUUGUAAAGCACUUUAGUUUUCGAGAAAGGGUGCUGUUCAAAUAGGAUAGUAUUCAGAUGUUAGAAAAAGAAUAAGUACCGGCAAACUCCGUGCCAGCAGCCGCGGUAAUACGGAGGGUACGAGCGUUAAUCGGAAUGACUGGGCGUAAAGGGCACGUAGGUGGAUAGAUAAGUCACAAGUGAAAUACCCGGGCUUAACCUGGGAUUGGCUCGUGAAACUGUUUAACUAGAGUACGGUAGAGGGGAGUAGAAUUCCAAGUGUAGCGGUGAAAUGCGUAGAGAUUUGGAAGAAUACCGGAGGCGAAGGCGGCCCUCUGGACCGAUACUGACACUGAAGAGCGAAAGCGARGGGGAGCAAACAAGAUUAGAUACCCUGGUAGUCCACGCCGUAAACGAUGUCGACCAGGAKUUUGGCGCCUAAGAGGUGUUGGGUUCCAGAACCAACG